CCUACGGGAGGCAGCAGUGGGGAAUAUUGCACAAUGGGCGAAAGCCUGAUGCAGCGACGCCGCGUGAGGGAUGACGGCCUUCGGGUUGUAAACCUCUUUCAGCAGGGAAGAAGCGAAAGUGACGGUACCUGCAGAAGAAGCGCCGGCUAACUACGUGCCAGCAGCCGCGGUAAUACGUAGGGCGCAAGCGUUGUCAGGAAUUAUUGGGCGUAAAGAGCUCGUAGGCGGCUUGUCACGUCGGGUGUGAAAGCCCGGGGCUUAACCCCGGGUCUGCAUUCGAUACGGGCUAGCUAGAGUGUGGUAGGGGAGAUCGGAAUUCCUGGUGUAGCGGUGAAAUGCGCAGAUAUCAGGAGGAACACCGGUGGCGAAGGCGGAUCUCUGGGCCAUUACUGACGCUGAGGAGCGAAAGCGUGGGGAGCGAACAGGAUUAGAUACCCUGGUAGUCCACGCCGUAAACGGUGGGAACUAGGUGUUGGCGACAUUCCACGUCGUCGGUGCCGGCAGCUACGACAUUAAGUUACCCGUCCGUCGGGUAGGUACGGCCGCGAACGGACGUAAACCUACGAAACGGAAGUUAGACGGCGUGAGACGUGCCGAACGGACGACGACGAGGGAGGUAGG
This 621-nucleotide ribosomal RNA is filed under the name uncultured bacterium. RNAcentral's name for it is "bacterial SSU rRNA". The stretch from base 1 to 526 matches the Rfam family "Bacterial small subunit ribosomal RNA", at positions 338 to 873 of the family's 1533-position model. The record is from RNAcentral.